AGUGAACGCUGGCGGUAGGCCUAACACAUGCAAGUCGAACGGCAGCACAGUAAGAGCUUGCUCUUACGGGUGGCGAGUGGCGGACGGGUGAGGAAUACAUCGGAAUCUACUUUUUCGUGGGGGAUAACGUAGGGAAACUUACGCUAAUACCGCAUACGACCUACGGGUGAAAGCAGGGGAUCUUCGGACCUUGCGCGAUUGAAUGAGCCGAUGUCGGUUUAGCUAGUUGGCGGGGUAAAGGCCCACCAAGGCGACGAUCCGUAGCUGGUCUGAGAGGCUGGUCGGCCACCUUGGAACUGGGACACGGUCCAGGCUACUAAGGGAGGGAGCAGAGGGGAAUAUUGGACAAUGGGCGCAAGCCUGAUCCAGCCAUACCGCGUGGGUGAAGAAGGCCUUCGGGUUGUAAAGCCCUUUUGUUGGGAAAGAAAAGCAGCAGGUUAAUACCCCGCUGUUCUGACGGUACCCAAAGAAUAAGCACCGGCUAACUUCGUG
This 492-nucleotide ribosomal RNA is filed under the name uncultured bacterium. Its description in RNAcentral is "partial 16S ribosomal RNA". It matches the Rfam family "Bacterial small subunit ribosomal RNA", at positions 29 to 507 of the family's 1533-position model. The record is from RNAcentral.